UGAGCUCAGAAAGGAAGUUAUUGCUCAGGUCAAACAGUGAAGUGCGCAAAUCCCGUGUCCCCGACUGAGUGGCUGAGAAGUCCUGUGUGCCAUCAUACCGCACCCCUGCGCCCGCCCCAGGCCCCAUCUUCUCCCUGUGACCUUGGAUCAGCUAUCUAACUCCUCUGAGCCUCAUUUUGCCCUCGUGUAGAAGGGACCACGACUGGACCAGCCAAUCCUAGAUGACAGUACCUUGCAGUGGAUGCCGCCUUCCACGGGAGCGGCAUUGUGAUGGAGGAACAGACGCUGUGCAGACAGACCUGGGUUCGAACCCCAGCUCUGCCCCUCACCCACUGCAGACCCCAUGGCCAGUCACUCUGCCUGUCCCUCAAUGGAGACCAGAAUCUCUUCUCUGUACUUUAGUAGAAAGUGCCCAUUGAGCACCUUCUUUA
Long non-coding RNA from Suricata suricatta (meerkat), 431 nucleotides. RefSeq lists it as uncharacterized. The record is from RefSeq and is a predicted model, not a curated record. The transcript has 3 exons. NCBI's taxonomy places the organism in Eukaryota, Metazoa, Chordata, Mammalia, Carnivora, Herpestidae.